Molecule: ribosomal RNA, 497 nt
Filed under: uncultured bacterium
Lineage: Bacteria
Description: partial 16S ribosomal RNA
Rfam family: Bacterial small subunit ribosomal RNA
Source: RNAcentral
GAUGAACGCUGGCGGCGUGCCUAAUACAUGCAAGUCGAGCGAACGGACGAGAAGCUUGCUUCUCUGAUGUUAGCGGCGGACGGGUGAGUAACACGUGGAUAACCCACCUAUAAGACUGGGAUAACUUCGGGAAACCGGAGCUAAUACCGGAUAAUAUUUUGAACCGCAUGGUUCAAAAGUGAAAGACGGUCCUGCUGUCACUUAUAGAUGGAUCCGCGCUGCAUUAGCUAGUUGGUAAGGUAACGGCUUACCAAGGCAACGAUGCAUAGCCGACCUGAGAGGGUGAGCAGCCACACUGGGACUGAGACACGGUCCAGACUCCUACGGGAGGCAGCCGUAGGGAAUCUUCCGCAAUGGGCGGAAGCCAGACGGAGCAACGCCGCGUGAGGGAUGAGGGUCUUCGGGUCGUAAAACUCUGUUAUUGGGGAGGAACAUAUGUGUAAGUAACUGUGCACGUCUUGACGGUACCUAAGCAGAGAAGCACGGCUAACUACGUG